RNAcentral lists this long non-coding RNA (592 nucleotides) under Bos taurus (domestic cattle). RNAcentral's name for it is "long non-coding RNA NONBTAT027123". The record is from RNAcentral. Lineage: Eukaryota; Metazoa; Chordata; Mammalia; Artiodactyla; Bovidae.
GCUACCUGGGGUCUAAGGGGCUAUGCUAACACCAUGGACUGUAUGGUUUUGGCAGGGUACCUUGAAUGCUUGACACCUCAUUAGCAUAACCUAAAACAUGGCUUUCCAAAAUAAUUAAACCUCCUAAAUUUGUAAUGGAACAUGAGUAUUUGUACCGUUUUGGCUCACAUUCAAUGUCGUGGUCUUAUCUGUUCCCUAAAUGAUCUCGCCGCAUAAUUCUAUUACUCAUCUCAUUCCAUCAUGAUUUAUUUAAGAUCUGCCUGCAGCAAAGGCAUGCACCAUUUCCCCAUACAGAAAUGAGGUUGUGGAAAGCCAAGAGAUACAGUAUUGUGCAAUUUUAUGUAACCUGGCCGAGUUUCAUUCUGUUUAUCCCAGGGGCCAGCCUGGGGUCAGACCAUAAAAUCAGUGAUGCAAAGCUCCCUAACCGGAUUUGUUUAUGCAAAUGCAUACAUUCGUUUCAGUAACAGGAACCCCUGAAAAUGAAGGAGCUGGUGGUAAGUUAUUCUUCCACUCCUGUAAUUACUGAACCCACAUCAGUCAUAUCGAUGGCCAUUUAGUGUAUGCCCACAGCAAGCACACAUAACAAUUGGAG